AUGUAUACACACUCUAAGACCUAUACCUAGGAGAGAUCAACCGCGUAACACAACCCCUUUGGAUCUUCUUCUUCGUUCCAACAACAAUAGACCUUAGGAGACAUAUACACACAUAGAGACGGAUACACCGUAGACCAAGGAGGACCCCCCAAUGUUUCUUCUUCUUCAGACACCCGAAGCAGCCAUGAGAGAAGCUUAACGCCACCGACCAACAGCCUAACGCCACCGACCAACAGCCUAACGCCGGACACAUGCACACACGCACCGACAGGCUGUCGUUCUUCCGCCUUCGAGCUCGCCAGAAAAUGGACAACAGCCGUACACCCUUCUUCUUCGGCACUACCUCAAUAGCAUCACACACGCACACACGCACACACGAACAGAGUUAGGGAACGGAUAUAGAGCUAGAAUAGGCAGACACGAACAGAGAAAUCGAAAGUAGUACAAAAAAAUUACUUCGUCUUCUCCAUUCUCGAUUUGGUUCUUAGUUUUCUGCAACAUGGAGUUUAAUUGAGGUUCGGAGCCGAAUUUGAGUUUGAAUUAUGUGGAGGUCGCCGUUGAAGGUAGUCUGUUCCGAAUUCGAUGAGGUUUCCGGUUCGAGAUUUCGAUUUUGCUCGCGAUUUCUUGCUCGACUUUGGUGCUGUUGUUUCGCUUGAAUUUGGAAGUUAACAUCUGAAUCAGUUGGCCCAUUUUCUAAUUUCAGGUUCAUUUCUUCUCUAUUUCUCUAUGGCUUGUGAUUUUGUGUUAUGUUGGAUGAAUAUUGAGAUAUUAGCCUACUGUUUAUAGCAUGUCUUGGUUUAAAUUUUGCUAGAAUUUGCCGGAACAAGUAUUAUGUGGUUCAUCUAGUGAAAAUUUAAGAUUACAUUGAAGUUAUAGGUUAAAAUUUCCUCAUCUAGAUAUCAGUACAUUGGUUUAAAGCUCAGAUGCGCGUCUUAGAGUAAUCGACUAUUUUUUUUAAAAAUGGAUUCAUAUAUACCUCAAAUGGAUUCAUAGUUGGUGAUAUUCAUUAGUCUGUACCAUGUUCUUAACAUAUGCUUAGAUUUUACUUUCAAUUUCAAUCAAUAGCAUGCGUCUGCUAGCUCUUUUCAUGAAUUUGUUAUAGUUUCAUUAUUAAAGUAAGUUCACGUAUUUUCGCUUUGAGUUAUCCCAUUUGAGUCCAAAUUUGGCCAUCACUUAGUAAGUUUAUGUUUGGGGCAUUAAAAAGUAAAAAAAAAAUGAAAAUUUGGAUCUUAAAUCUUCAUUGCUUUUGUUUAUAGCUUUAUUGUUCGUUCGGAUUGAUAGGAUCAUGUUUUAGGACGACCACACCCGGGUAAAAGAAUCUUUAGGCGCAUUUUGAAUUUAUUAUCGUGAUCGCAUAUACAUUCGCGUGAUAUGAUUACAGUUUCUAAGAUGAAUAUUCGUAGUUUGCUUUAGGCAGGUUCAAUAUACCAUCGUGGUUUUGUACACGUUCGCGUGACAUAAUUAAGAUUUUCGAAAUAAAUCGAGGUAUGCGUUCGUGCAACUUCGGCCAAACUUUUUUAAUAUUAAUAAAGCGUUAUUAAUUGUGGACACGUAUGCGUGAUAUAGUUUUUGAUGCGCCAAACAAAUGAGUACACUACGCAUGACCUGUUUUAAAAUAAUUUCCUAAAAAAAGGAGGCAAAUGCACAUAGGUUCUAAAAUGGGUAAUUAAACAAUUUAAUUGAGCAAAGUAUGAUCAAAAGGAACAUGCUAAAACCACGAAAAAUGAGAAUGCUUAACACAUUCUCACGGGUUAACAGAAUUCCUUACCCGAAUUUAUGUGUUCACAGACCAUAAAUAGGAGUCAACUUUCCUUGAUUUGGGAGUUAAACCGGUGACUUGGGGCACCAUAAAUUAUCCCAAGUGGCGACUCUGAAUUUAAUAUAAAUAGUCCAGUUUUGAUUUUCACUUAAAUUAGAAAAAACUCCCCUAUACCCCUUCUCUGGUGUAGAAAAAGGAGGUGUGACAGCUCUAACGACUCUGCUAGAGACAAGAACCCAGAAUCUCUAGUUUAGAGUUCAGGAAAUCGAGCUUGUUUUUAUGAUUUUUACUUGGCUUUAUUUAUUGUUCAUAUUAUCGUAUUUGUGGACCUAGUAUGCUAAAUGUUGCUUAUUUAUCGCGUUCAUAUUACUUGAACUGUAUUAAACUGUCUUCAUACGCCUUCCUUCUGAGUCUUCAAAAAAAAAAAUGGUGCAUACGUUCAUGUGGCCCAAUUUUUCUGUUAGAAGUUAUACCAAAUAGAACGAGGAUGGGGCAGCAACAAGGCCGGGUAGACUUUCGUGUUAUUGGUACGUUGACCCCUCUUUGGCUCGAGUUGUCCGCUCGGGUAAGCCAGCUCAAGAACACAACCCCAGAUUUAAACUUAGAAUAACAUAACCUCAUGCUGGAUCCUUAGUAGGAACCUUUAUUUUCAUCACGUGCAUUUGACGUAGGGGACUCAACAUAGGAGUUGGGUCAGUCUAGGACAGGUGUAUCCAAAAAUACAAGACCAUCCUGUUGCAUCCUAUGUGCUCCAUAUUGCAAUCUUCAAGGGUAAAAGGAUUAUUUGACAGACCAGUGAUGAUUGAGGGUAAAUGAGAAAGAAAAGAAGGUGAAGUGUGAAAAUAAAGAAAGUAGGGCCCAAUUAGAAUUUUUUUCACACUUUUCAAGAAAAGACAAAAAAAAUAAAAAUGAAAUAAUCCAAAAAGAUUUUGCAUUUUCCCAUCAUUUUUCAAAAAAAUAAGAAAAAAAGAGAAAAGAAAAUCCAAUUUUUUUGCAUGUUUCAUCAUUUUCAAAGAAAAAGAAGACAAAAAAAAUAUUUUCUCUAAAUUAGUUAUUUUUUUAAAUUUUCGUCCAUAUCCAAUCUGGCCGAACUACGCAUACCCGAUUCUCGUCUUUCGGGGCGUGAUACGUAGGCAAGCCACAUAGGGUCCGGUGAUCCUAGUGAGUUUAGGUUCUUGACUUCGCGGGGUCUUAGCCAAAUAUUGCAUUUUAAGCCAGUUUUAGUCACAUAGGUUAAUUUUAAAAAAAUAGUCACAAUCAUGUCUUGCAUGUGUCUAAGAGGGGGUUAUUAUCUCGCAUAGAGUUCUAGGUCUUUGACUUAUUUGGUCUUAAUUUUCUCAUACAUGUGCAGAUCUACUUACCGAAGUUUGGGCAUGACAGACGCCCUAGGACCAUCCAGUCAGAGUCGUUCAUUCAGGAGUUUGCUUAAAGAGAUUUUUUCUUAGUUACUCCAUCUGUUUCAUAUUGUUUGAGGUAGUUUGACUCGGCAUGGAGUUUAAGAAAAAAGAAGAAGACUAUUAAAACUUGUGGUCUUAAAAAAUUAAGGGGUAAAAGAUUUAUGGGGCCAUACCAUUUGUGUGGCUAUAAAAGCUUCUCACUAAGGGUAAAAAAGGUAAAAUGAAGAGUUUAAAGUUGAAUUAUUUUCAAAUUUUGAAAUGUGUCAUUUAUUUUGGAACAGACUAAAAAGGAAAUUAUCUCAAACAAUAUGAAACGGAUGGAGUAUUAUGUUUUGAGUUUGUUCUUCUUUUUAUGUUAUCUUUUGCCUUCUAGUUUUGUACAUAUCGAGUCUUUUAGGUGAUGUUAGAGUCUUUCAUAGUCUGUUUAAGUUUUUCGAGUCUUUUGUUAUUGUAUUACCUAUUUUGUAUUUGAAAAUGUGUUAUAAAUCAAAAAUUCAAAAAGAAAUUGUAUUUUUAUAUUUCCGUUAGAAGUUUUCUUUAGAAUACUAAUUCUAGAAUAAAAAAAGAAAUC
Molecule: long non-coding RNA, 3727 nt
Filed under: Nicotiana benthamiana
Lineage: Eukaryota; Viridiplantae; Streptophyta; Magnoliopsida; Solanales; Solanaceae
Description: long non-coding RNA (NBEN_LNC009262)
Source: RNAcentral